This 253-nucleotide ribosomal RNA is filed under the name uncultured bacterium. Its description in RNAcentral is "partial 16S ribosomal RNA". It matches the Rfam family "Bacterial small subunit ribosomal RNA", at positions 524 to 776 of the family's 1533-position model. The record is from RNAcentral.
UACGAAGGGGGCUAGCGUUGUUCGGAAUUACUGGGCGUAAAGCGCACGUAGGCGGACUUUUAAGUCAGGUGUGAAAUCCCGGGGCUCAACCUCGGAACUGCAUUUGAAACUGGAAGUCUUGAGACCAGGAGAGGUUAGCGGAAUACCGAGUGUAGAGGUGAAAUUCGUAGAUAUUCGGUGGAACUCCAGUGGCGAAGGCGGCUAACUGGACUGGUACUGACGCUGAGGUGCGAAAGUGUGGGGAGCGAACAGG